CAGGCAUCUUCUCAGCCUACAUGUG
RNAcentral lists this microRNA (25 nucleotides) under Gallus gallus (chicken). RNAcentral's name for it is "gga-miR-456-5p". Its record names the gene gga-miR-456-5p. The record is from miRBase by way of RNAcentral. Lineage: Eukaryota; Metazoa; Chordata; Aves; Galliformes; Phasianidae.